Molecule: ribosomal RNA, 464 nt
Filed under: uncultured bacterium
Lineage: Bacteria
Description: partial 16S ribosomal RNA
Rfam family: Bacterial small subunit ribosomal RNA
Source: RNAcentral
GACGAACGCUGGCGGCGUGCUUAACACAUGCAAGUCGAACGGUAAGGCCCCUUCGGGGGUACCCGAGUGGCGAACGGGUGAGUAACACGUGAGCAACCUGCCCUUGACUUUGGGAUACCAGCUGGAAACAGCUGCUAAUACCGGAUAUGACCUCUUCUCUCAUGGGUUGAGGUGGAAAGCUCCGGCGGUCAGGGAUGGGCUCGCGGCCUAUCAGCUUGUUGGUGAGGUAAUGGCUCACCAAGGCUUCGACGGGUAGCCGGCCUGAGAGGGCGACCGGCCACACUGGGACUGAGAUACGGCCCAGACUCCUACGGGAGGCAGCAGUGGGGAAUAUUGCACAAUGGGCGCAAGCCUGAUGCAGCAACGCCGCGUGCGGGAUGACGGCCUUCGGGUUGUAAACCGCUUUCAGUAGGGACGAAGCUAACGUGACGGUACCUACAGAAGAAGGACCGGCUAACUACGUG